RNAcentral lists this ribosomal RNA (289 nucleotides) under uncultured bacterium. Its description in RNAcentral is "partial 16S ribosomal RNA". It matches the Rfam family "Bacterial small subunit ribosomal RNA", at positions 28 to 313 of the family's 1533-position model. The record is from RNAcentral.
GACGAACGCUGGCGGCGUGCUUAACACAUGCAAGUCGAGCGGUAAGGCCCUUUCGGGGGUACACGAGCGGCGGACGGGUGAGUAACACGUGGGUGACCUGCCCUCAGCUCUGGGAUAAGCCUGGGAAACCGGGUCUAAUACUGGAUAUGACUCCAUGACGCAUGUUGUGGGGUGGAAAGCCUUGUGCGGCUGAGGAGUCGGGCCCGCGGCCUAUCAGCUUGUUGGGUGGGGUGUANGGCCUACCAAGGCGACGGACGGGUAGCCGGCCUGAGAGGGCGACCGGCCACAC